RNAcentral lists this transfer RNA (61 nucleotides) under Cordylochernes scorpioides. Its description in RNAcentral is "tRNA-Ser". Lineage: Eukaryota; Metazoa; Arthropoda; Arachnida; Pseudoscorpiones; Chernetidae. The record is from RNAcentral.
GCAUCGGUGGUUCAGUGGUAGAAUGCUCGCCUGCCACGCAGUUUGAUUCCCGGCCGAUGCA